This 996-nucleotide ribosomal RNA is filed under the name Modicisalibacter zincidurans. RNAcentral describes it as "bacterial SSU rRNA". It matches the Rfam family "Bacterial small subunit ribosomal RNA", at positions 65 to 1053 of the family's 1533-position model. The record is from RNAcentral. Lineage: Bacteria; Pseudomonadati; Pseudomonadota; Gammaproteobacteria; Oceanospirillales; Halomonadaceae.
ACGGUAACGGUUCGAGCUUGCUGAGCCGACGAAGCGGCGGAACGGGUGAGUAAUGCAUAGGAAUCUGCCCAGUCGUGGGGGAUAACCUGGGGAAACCCAUGCUAAUACCGCAUACGUCCUACGGGAGAAAGCGGGGGCUCUUCGGACCUCGCGCGAUUGGAUGAGCCUAUGUCGGAUUAGCUAGUUGGUGAGGUAACGGCUCACCAAGGCGACGAUCCGUAGCUGGUCUGAGAGGAUGAUCAGCCACACCGGGACUGAGACACGGCCCGGACUCCUACGGGAGGCAGCAGUGGGGAAUAUUGGACAAUGGGCGCAAGCCUGAUCCAGCCAUGCCGCGUGUGUGAAGAAGGCUUUCGGGUUGUAAAGCACUUUCAGUGGGGAAGAAAGCGUGCCGGCCAAUACCCGGUACGGACGACAUCACCCACAGAAGAAGCACCGGCUAACUCCGUGCCAGCAGCCGCGGUAAUACGGAGGGUGCGAGCGUUAAUCGGAAUUACUGGGCGUAAAGCGCGCGUAGGCGGCUAAGUAAGCCGGUUGUGAAAGCCCCGGGCUCAACCUGGGAAUGGCAUCCGGAACUGUUUAGCUAGAGUGCAGGAGAGGAAGGUAGAAUUCCCGGUGUAGCGGUGAAAUGCGUAGAGAUCGGGAGGAAUACCAGUGGCGAAGGCGGCCUUCUGGACUGACACUGACGCUGAGGUGCGAAAGCAUGGGUAGCAAACAGGAUUAGAUACCCUGGUAGUCCAUGCCGUAAACGAUGUCGACUAGCCGUUGGGUCCCUUGAGGACUUAGUGGCGCAGUUAACGCGAUAAGUCGACCGCCUGGGGAGUACGGCCGCAAGGUUAAAACUCAAAUGAAUUGACGGGGGCCCGCACAAGCGGUGGAGCAUGUGGUUUAAUUCGAUGCAACGCGAAGAACCUUACCUACCCUUGACAUCCUGCGAACCCUCCGGAGACGGAGGGGUGCCUUCGGGAGCGCAGAGACAGGUGCUGCAUGGCUGUC